UAAGAUACAUACAAAUCAUAAAAAUAUAAAAAAAUAUGUGACACGUCAACUUGCAUAAAAAAUAAUAAGAUCAGAAUCAAUAAGAAUAUUGUUAGAAGCAUUAACAGUUAACACCAGCACUGAAUAAAUAUGGUCAGUCCCAUAAUCAAAGCUAAGCUACA
Molecule: long non-coding RNA, 161 nt
Organism: Telopea speciosissima
Lineage: Eukaryota; Viridiplantae; Streptophyta; Magnoliopsida; Proteales; Proteaceae
Exons: 2
Source: RefSeq, a predicted model, not a curated record